RNAcentral lists this ribosomal RNA (492 nucleotides) under uncultured bacterium. Its description in RNAcentral is "partial 16S ribosomal RNA". It matches the Rfam family "Bacterial small subunit ribosomal RNA", at positions 29 to 507 of the family's 1533-position model. The record is from RNAcentral.
AGUGAACGCUGGCGGUAGGCCUAACACAUGCAAGUCGAACGGCAGCACAGUAAGGGCUUGCUCUUACGGGUGACGAGUGGCGGACGGGUGAGGCAUACAUCGGAAUCUACUUUUUCGUGGGGGAUAACGUAGGGAAACUUACGCUAAUACCGCAUACGACCUACGGGUGAAAGCAGGGGAUCUUCGGACCUUGCGCGAUUGAAUGAGCAGAUGUCGGAUUAGCUAGUUGGCGGGGUAAAGGCCCACCAAGGCGACGAUCCGUAGCUGGUCUGAGAGGAUGAUCCGCCACACUGGAACUGAGACACGGUCCAGACACCUACAGGAGGCAGCAGUGGGGAAUAUUGGACAAUGGGCGCAAGCCGGAUCCAGCCAUACCGGGUGGAUGAAGAAGGCCUUCGGGUUGUAAAGCCCUUUUGUUGGGAAAGAAAAGCAGCAGUUUAAUACCCCACUGUACUGACGGUACCCAAAGAAGAAGCACCGGCUAACUUCGUG